AGCAGCCGCGGUAAUUCCAGCUCCAAUAGCGUAUAUUAAAGUUGUUGCAGUUAAAAAGCUCGUAGUUGAAUUUCGGGAUCAAUACGCCUGUCGUGCCUUCGGUACGUACGGGUGUAAUUGGUCUCUACCUUCUGAGGAUCCUUGAUGUCAUUAAUUUGGUGUCUUGGGGAAUCAGGACUGUUACCUUGAAAAAAUUAGAGUGUUUAAAGCAGGCAUACGCUUGGAUACAUUAGCAUGGAAUAAUGAAAUAGGACGUUCGAUUCUAUUUUGUUGGUUUCUAGAAUCGACGUAAUGAUUAAUAGGGAUAGUUGGGGGCAUUAGUAUUCAAUUGUCAGAGGUGAAAUUCUUGGAUUUAUUGAAGACUAACUACUGCGAAAGCAUUUGCCAAGGAUGUUUUCAUUAAUCAAGAACGAAAGUUAGGGGAUCGAAGACGAUCAGAUACCGUCGUAGUCUUAACCAUAAACUAUGCCGACUAGGGAUCGGAUGAUGUUAAUUUUUAAUGACUCAUUCGGCGCCUUAA
This 520-nucleotide ribosomal RNA is filed under the name uncultured Glomus. RNAcentral's name for it is "SSU rRNA". It matches the Rfam family "Eukaryotic small subunit ribosomal RNA", at positions 569 to 1091 of the family's 1831-position model. The record is from RNAcentral. Lineage: Eukaryota; Fungi; Glomeromycota; Glomeromycetes; Glomerales; Glomeraceae.